GACGUAGGGCGCGAGCGUUGUCCGGAUUUAUUGGGCGUAAAGAGCUCGUAGGCGGCUUGUUGCGUCGUCCGUGAAAACCUGGGGCUCAACUCCAGGCUUGCGGUCGAUACGGGCAGGCUAGAGUUCGGUAGGGGAGACUGGAAUUCCUGGUGUAGCGGUGAAAUGCGCAGAUAUCAGGAGGAACACCGGUGGCGAAGGCGGCAUCCUGGACCGGCAUUGACGCUGAGGCGCGAAAGCUAGGGGAGCAAACGGG
Molecule: ribosomal RNA, 253 nt
Filed under: uncultured bacterium
Lineage: Bacteria
Description: partial 16S ribosomal RNA
Rfam family: Bacterial small subunit ribosomal RNA
Source: RNAcentral